UUUUAGUUUUAAAGUGUGUCGACAGAUGGCAGUGAAUUUACUGGGGUUACAAAAUUUACUAUGACAGUACCGCUCUAUGAUUAUUCGAGGUAUAGUUUUGGCCAAAAGUAUUUGUCCAUUUUUAUAAGUUAAUACCUUAUACCUUAAGGUUAGUGUUAUUUAUUUGAUGAAAUCAGAUCUGACAUAUUCGUAAUUAUAUUAAUAACCUGCAGCUUUUCUGUAAGUUUAUUAUGUUUCUAUUACUAAUAGAACUUAAUAAAUAUAAGGACAUUUGUGACGUUUUCAACCAAAAGGUACCACAUUGUCGCUGGUUGAUAAGGUUGAUUUCUAAUUGAAGCUAUAUGGAAAUAGCGCCUUACUGACAAGCGACAAUAAGUACCCUUUUGGUUGAAAAUGGCACAUUUAAGGACUUUUUUUAAAGCCAAAACUUCUUGAUUAAUAUAUAAUAGCACAGUAAGUGGAAGUCACGCACACUUUGUAAAUUCUAUACUUUUUGUUACCUAUGUGUGAUUCCUUUUAUAGAUCAUUCAUUUUAUUCUCAACUUAAAUAGCUAGUUCUAUAAACAGUCCAAUAUAUUUGUUAUUACACCUUGUGGAAGCAAUUCGUCAAUGUGAUAUAUUAUAUUAUGUAGCGUAGUUAUAAUUUAACUUUUUUUGUACAUAUAUAUCUCGUUUAUUUGGAAGUCAGUCAUAUCAAUAAAACAGUUGCAUAAUAGUAGAUUGUACAAUGAGAUCAUAAAAAAUGUUUGAGAAUCGAGAAUAAAAUGCAUUACCUACCUAAUAUUGUCUUCGGUUACCGCGAUAGUUACUCAUGAAAUAAAACUAUGAAAACGGAUUAUAUCGCGUAUAUUGAAUUUAUAAUACAUCCCGUUUCGAACCCUUUACAGCGUUCGUGGUCAACGGGUGACUGAGAAAAAAUUACAAAGUGCAAAAAUACCCACAUACUAAAAUAAUGAACAAUCAUAGAAUACAAACUUUAAGGCUGGUUGUACUAGCCUUAUGAACCGAUUUUGCAUGUACAACCAGCCUUAAAGUUUGUAGUCUAUGAUUGUUCAUUAUGUUAGUAUGUGGGUAUUUUUACACUUUGUAAUUUUUUUCUCAGUCACCCGUUGACCACGAACGCUGUAAGUGUUCGAAACGUCGGGAUGUAUUAUAAAUUCAAUAUACGCGAUAUAAUCCGUUUUCAUAGUUUUAUUUCAUUACCUACCUUUUUACUUUAAUUGCAAGGAAACUAAAUAAAUUGCACUAUGUUUAAACCUGUGUUCGAAUCACGUUCGAGACGGUGAUUUUCUAUUUAUUAACCGACUUCAAUUUCAUAGAAGGAGGAGGUUCUGUAUUGUAUUCUGUUGUGGCUAUUUUUUUAUGUAUGUUCACCGAUUACUCCGAGACCCGUGGUCCGAUUUGAGUAAUUCUUUUUUCUGAAAGUGUUCUGUAUCAUUAUGUCAUUGACUGAUCUCCUAAAUUUUGUAAAUAACUCCAUGGUUUUUAGGACUGUCGCCAUCAAUAUCAGCGCUUAAAAAUAUCUAAACACAUCUGCAGAUGGCAUAUAGUCGAGAAAUUGGGACGGGUACCGCCGUGGCGAGGUGCCCUAGAGGUUCAUGGCGUUAGCCGCGAUAGCUAAAGACGUUGGUUCGAAAUCGGCCUUCACCACUGAAGGACUUCGUCACUUUUUCUUUAAUAUAUGACGUCUAUUACAGUUAAUAAACACAUCUACACUAAUAAUUAUCAAGGUACUGUGCAUUUCAAUAGCUGUAACAGACGGGCGUACCUCGACCUUGCUCCGAUCAGCAUCUCUCUCGCUCUCACUUACAGCUGCGCCCUUAACGGACCUACGGCGGACCACCUUCCACUCGAUCGGUCAGGCUUUGGACCGGACCAAGGUGACGGUCCGGUACGCCCGUCUGUUACAGCUUUUAGAUAUUUCGAGCACUCCGGCUAAUAUUGAUGGAUGUCAACAUGGUCAAAUUUAGAUUAUUAAAUUAAUUAGUUAGACAAAAUCCAAAAUUCUAGACUAAAAUAGAUCUGACAAAUUGGUAUUUAUUAUUGGAAUUAGAUGUUUUAUUUACCCAUUUUAGUUUUUAAGUGUAUGUGAUCUAUUUCUAUAUGAUAUUUUACACAUAUCUUAACUUUGUGAUCAGUUUACUGUACUGAUAAAUAUAUGUUAGUUAUAU
Cydia strobilella is the source of this 2171-nucleotide long non-coding RNA. RefSeq lists it as uncharacterized. The transcript is spliced from 2 exons. The record is from RefSeq and is a predicted model, not a curated record. Lineage: Eukaryota; Metazoa; Arthropoda; Insecta; Lepidoptera; Tortricidae.